Candidatus Roizmanbacteria bacterium is the source of this 408-nucleotide non-coding RNA. NCBI's taxonomy places the organism in Bacteria, Candidatus Roizmaniibacteriota. The record is from Rfam.
GGGGGUGAAAGGAAUCGACGGAAAGCAUGCACUUUUAAAAAUCGGUAGAGCGUACCUAUGCGUCAAAUGGAAAAACUUAUUUGCUAAAGAUAACUCUUUAACAGCAGAAGAGGAAGCUUAUUUAGCUAGUGGAGCAAGGUUUAACCAUAACUUUGCCUUCGCUUCCUAAUAGCGGAGUCAACUGCCUCUGAUUAAGUUUCCCUUAGUUCAACUUAAUUAAGAGAUAAACCAAUUAAGGUAAGGUUUUUAGAUAUUUUCGGUUAGUCUAAAAACCGAUAAAUAUAACCGGCUUCCCGAUAAGUUUUGCUUAUUUUCUAGUCGGGAUCGAGACAAAAAUAUUUUAUCUCUACCUAAAGAUUUUUAGAAUGGCCCUUCCGGACCCGAGUUCAACUCUCGGCACCUCCACCA